RNAcentral lists this ribosomal RNA (412 nucleotides) under Bemisia tabaci. Its description in RNAcentral is "partial 16S ribosomal RNA". Lineage: Eukaryota; Metazoa; Arthropoda; Insecta; Hemiptera; Aleyrodidae. The record is from RNAcentral.
AAAAAAAUUUUAGAUAAAUUCUGCUCAAUGAGUAAGUUAAAUAGCUGCAGUAAAUUAACUGUACUAAGGUAGCAUAAUAAGUUGCUUUAUAAUUAAAAGCUUGAAUGAAAGAAAUAAUGUGAAAGAAGCUUUUUAAACUAAAAUAGUGAAAAUUAAUAUUUAAGUGAAAAAUCUUAAAUAGAAUCAAAAGACAAGAAGACCCUUUAGAACUUUACAAAUUGAUUUAAUAUCAUUUAGUUAAUUUGUUAAAUUGGGGAGAUUUUUAAAUAAAUAGAUCUUUAGAUAUAAAAAAAUGAUUUAAAUCAGAUUAAAUUAUCCAAAUGUGAAAUAAAACAAGUUACCUAAGGGAUAACAGCGCAAAAUUUUUGAGAAGUUCUCAUUUACAAAAUAAAUUGCGACCUCGAUGUUGGAU